UGGCGAGAGUUAGGAACCGCACAGUGUAAUCGUGAAUGGACAUAUCCACUUGCCAUAGUCAGAAGAGCUCGUCAUGCACAGGUUGAGAUCGCCGAGGUUGAGGUACCAAACACUUCUCUGAAAUGGUUUACAAAAGAGUCUAGGGAAUGUGUUACUGGGCUUUGAGACUCCCAGAUAUAUCUUGCCCAUUGAAGCGCUCGCCUUGACAGCAAGGAUAUGAUAAAGGCGAUCUUUGCUCUUUCACUCACCAAUUGGUGUGUUUGCAUUUCGAAAUAUAGGGAACAUUGCAAAAGGAAGCCACUGCACUCUUGACGCCUCACCGGAAUAAGUUGUGGGCUUGCCCAUGGGACAUGCGAAGGCAGAUGAAGUGACGGGUGGUGACUGAAGUGAGGAACUGAAUGUUUCUACCAAUACGGUGAAGGGAUCGGAGGCGGUUGGAUUCCGCUUUUCCAUCUUGUGUUCCUUUGAUAGGCUGGUCUUCUGUCACAACUGUAAGGAGAGGAACAAGAUGGUGGGUUUUGGGCUAGUCUGUCUGGGAACAUGGUUUCGGGUCAUCACUGGAUUCAUAGGAAUUUACCAAAUGAAUGGACUGAAAACAACACCAUUCACUAUUGGUGUGACGGCGUUGGUCAUCACCGGUAUUCUGAUAACACUGGUCGCUGUUCUCGGCAAUCAUGGCGCACGCAUGUAGCCGCAAUAAAUCUGCUCUUAAUGUGUUUUCUGGCCUGCUGUCCUUUCUGAUCAUCAUAAACAUCGCAGUAGGAGUGAUGGCCUUUGUGUGGCGUGGAGAAAUGUCAGACGGGUUGGCAAAGUUCUACAUCAAGAUCUACACUCAGUAUCCGCACACCAGGCGUAAUAAUGAAACCAUGGUUCUCAAACUAUUCCACAAAACUACUGCUGUGGCAUUGGUGGACCGAUUGAAGAGUCUGUGCUUGACACCUGUCCAGAAGGCAACUUCCCGAACCAGAUCACAUUUCCUGUGAGUCAAUUCCUGUUUGUCUUAAAGCCUGUUCACACCAAAAACUAUAACC
This 1031-nucleotide long non-coding RNA is filed under the name Sinocyclocheilus anshuiensis. Its description in RNAcentral is "lncRNA (ENSSANG00000034316.1)". Lineage: Eukaryota; Metazoa; Chordata; Actinopteri; Cypriniformes; Cyprinidae. The record is from RNAcentral.